AAUUCCCAAGAAAUAAUAAACAACACGGUUAUAAACAGGUACUAUAUUAUUGUAUUACCCGUAGCCUAUAGCCGUGAUUGAAAAAUAACAGUCGGAAAAAUUCCAAGGAGGGGUCAAUCCACCCAUCGCUCGCCCUCAAAUACGCCACUGUAGCAGCACUCCUCGUUUUAAGAAUUGCUGUACUUUAAUUUGGAGCUAUAAUAAAAUCCAAUAACAGUAUCCAUUUAAAAAAUAUAUUUUUCUUUUCAGAAUUUAUGUUUUUCCCGAUAACGCACUCCGGGCUCAUAUUGAUGCUCAUAUUUACAUGUAAAUAUAAUAUCACAUAAUAUAUUAUUUCAUAAUAUUAAUAUUCGCAGUUGAUGCGACUCUCCCUUUCGGAAAAUGUAUCAAGAACCGAGAUUCUGAGAUUAUAAAAUGUAAAAAUAAUUAUAAAAAGAAUAUGUUAUCUAGUACUUAGUAUCUAUCUACUAUAUACUAUAAAUAUCUAUAAUAAUAAUAAAUCAUAAUAAUUUUAACGAUAAUCUGAAUAAAAAUAAUUAAUACCCCCGGGUAACGUUGAAUGUGAGUUUUACCCCAAUAGACCCAGACAUUUUUUUUUUCGUUACGUUGUGUUAACAUUGUUUUUAAAAUGCAGACGGGAUGGUGGAAUUGGGUCGGCGUGCGAUCGAGCAAAACUCGAUGGACCGCUACCUCAUUGAUUUUGAUCGAUGCUAGUAUAGUAGUCAUAACUGGGUUUCAAUAAUGGAAUAAUUUUUAUAUUCUAUAAGAAUGAACGAUUAGCGUUUAAGAUAGCGAUUAUCUAAGAUCAAUUACUGAGAUUUGGAAUAACCACCGUUAUCAGACGUAGCCCAUAUUGUAAUUUUUUUUUUUUGGGAGGGGGACAUUUAAUCACCGGGCCGGUUGAAUGUGGAACUCGAUUAACUAUAUAAUUACCCAACCCGUCCCUGGUGGGUGGUUAAAACCGUUAGGGAUUGGAAACCUUUCACUAAGACUCAACUUUACAAUAUUAUCUAUUUAACAAUGGCUUCGUCACAAACCGCGAACCGGUCGUUCAUUUGCAGGACGAACGGGUCAAGAUGGCAGCAAAUUUGGGCAGUAACUAGUUAAACAGUUAAAGGUUAAUCUUUUGGCUAACUAAAUUAGAAUGAUAAAAAAUAUAACUAGUUAAACAAUUAAGUAGCAGGCAGGUACCUAUAGCUUUGGUUACAACUUACGAAUUAUAUACAAGUACCUAUUAAGUUAUUUAGAUACUUAUAUAUUAUAAGUAUUUUAGAUAGGUAGGUAUCUAACCUAACCCACUGAGGUUUACUUACUACUAGUAAUAACAAUUUGUAUUAUGCUAAUAUUUCCAACCCAAACCGAUCAACCAAUUCCCGGCAGUAUUCCCAAAAAUAUUGUACGACGUCAUAAUACUCAUGGUAAACCAACAAAAUGUACUCAAAAGUAAAUUAAUAAAGAAUAAAAUAAUAAUAAACUUCCCUACUUAUUUAUUUUAACUAUUAUAAUGAUAAUUUCCCGCAACAGCAGGUAUACCUACAUACUAUUAUCGUCAAAUAAUAUAUGAGGGAAAUGUUAAAAACCACUGCACAAUAUGGUAUCUAGUAAGAUGCCUAUCUACAUAAUACAUAAUACAGCAGGUACUACUUACUUCAAAUUUCAUUUAAAAAAAAAACCGAUGUAUCCUAUGGGUGGGCCACUGUUGUAGGUAAGAUGUUGGGAAGGAUAUAGGGGGAAUUUAAUAUUUAUCAGAACAAAAACAUAAAUCAUUGCUAACGAAAAACGAUUCUAAGCAGAAUUCGGUUAAAUAUAUUUUGAAAGGUCAUAAUAUUUACAAUUUGAAAAUAAUACAUUUUGUAAAUUUUCCCGGUUUUCCUACGUUUUUCCCAUUUAUUAUGAAAACCCUUGGAAAAUCAAUAUAUGACCUCCCUAGUAAAAUUUCCUUUCAGAAAAGGUGCUACAUUUGAAAGUUGGAACAGGAUUUCUGUUAGGAAAGUUAUUCACAAAUCACAGAUAAAAAAAUAAAUAAAUAUCAUUAUAAAGCCAAUACAUUUCUCGCUUCACUUAGAACCUAAUACAUAUUUAUAUAUAUUAUAAUAAAUUAAACAAAAAGUUAUCUUAGAAAAUAAUAUUACUUUUUAUUAACCAAAAAAAUAACCCUAAGUAAUUAUUUUCCAUUAAAUGUCUUCAUAUUUUGUACAAAUAAAUUAUAGAUAAGUAAGCAUUUUAAUAAUUUACCAAUUUUACAGGUCCACCAGACAAACUGCCCAGUAUUGACAAAGACACUUUCUAUAAUCCAAAGAUGGCAAAUGAAAAACUUAAUAGUAAGUAGCUUUAAGAAAUAUAGAUUAUCUACAUUAUAUAGAAUAAUAAUACCUAUCAGUUUGUAUUUUAUGAAAACAAAUAUGGUAGGUACCAUAACCAGGGAAAAAAUUCAUAGGGCACUAUAAUUUGUAUUUUUUUCUACCUUCCUACUAUUUUUUAGAAUGAUAGAAUACACCAAAAUAACUUAGGUAACCAAAAUUUAAGAAGGUAGGAUAAUAAUGUGAUUUUAUUUGUAUCUAUAAACAAUAAAUCAUAGUUAACAAAACAAAAAAAACGAUUCUGAGAUAAGUUAGGUUAUUCAUGUAUAGAUAAUUAGAUGUCUGGUUUUUUUUAUUGUAAUAUUAUUCAAAUUAUGCACUUAAGCUAAUGGAUAUUUAGAAUAAUAUUACCUUUAUGAUUUUUAAUUUCAGAAGCAAAAAGUCACAGAUUCAAAGUUAGCAGUUAAAUGUACAAUUUGUAUUUAUUUUUUUAAAAUUAUAAUGUGAUUAAUAACUUAUAAUAUUUAUGUCGUAUACUAUUCAAAUUAAAAAUGAAUUGUAUUAUUUUAUACAUAUUAUUGUUGUAAAUGGUGUGUAUUAUGUUUUUUUUUUAGCUUAGAAAAUUUAAAAUACAAACAAUGUAUUUACUUGCAUUUGUAUGAUACCAAAAUCAAGUUUUUACAUUAGAGUUUUUCUACUAUAUUAAAAACCAGUGGUGUCUUUUCAAUUUUUUUUUUUUUUUUAAUGCACACGUGAUUAUGUUAUUGAUACAAACAUAAUACAAAAUUAAUUUUCGAGUAGUUCAAAUAUUAGUUAAUUAAAUUAUAUGUAACACAAAAUUUAAAUG
Molecule: non-coding RNA, 3147 nt
Organism: Cinara cedri
Lineage: Eukaryota; Metazoa; Arthropoda; Insecta; Hemiptera; Aphididae
Source: the annotation of a GenBank genome assembly